RNAcentral lists this ribosomal RNA (492 nucleotides) under uncultured bacterium. RNAcentral's name for it is "partial 16S ribosomal RNA". It matches the Rfam family "Bacterial small subunit ribosomal RNA", at positions 29 to 507 of the family's 1533-position model. The record is from RNAcentral.
AGUGAACGCUGGCGGUAGGCCUAACACAUGCAAGUCGAACGGCAGCACAGUAAGAGCUUGCUCUUACGGGUGGCGAGUGGCGUACGGGUGAGGAAUACAUCGGAAUCUACUUUUUCGUGGGGGAUAACGUAGGGAAACUUACGCUAAUAUCGCAUACGACCUACGGGUGAAAGCAGGGGAUCUUCGGACCUUGCGCGAUUGAAUGAGCCGAUGUCGGAUUAGCUAGUUGGCGGGGUAAAGGCACACCAAGGCGACGAUCCGUAGCUGGUCUGAGAGGAUGAUCAGCCACACUGGAACUGAGACACGGUCCAGACUCCUACGGGAGGCAGCAGUGGGGAAUAUUGGACGAUGGACGCAAGCCUGAUCCAGCCAUACCGCGUGGGUGAAGAAGGCCUUCGGGUUGUAAAGCCCUUUUGUUGGGAAAGAAAAGAAGCAGGUUAAUACCCCGCUGUUAUGACGGUACCCAAAGAAUAAGCACCGGCUAACUUCGUG